AUUCCCUUUAUAAACACCAGGAACCCCUUCUAAACCAAAGCCUUCUAUAAAAGUUGCCAGAGAGUGAACAGAAACUUUGGUUAUUGCUCAAGUGCUGCGAGAGAGAGAGAGUGCAACCUUCGUUUUGGGUUCUGCAGAUUGUUGUGGUUAACGUAGAGAGGUCUAGCAAUGGGUCCAGGAGGACCAGGAGGGCCUGGAGGGCCUGGUUGGGGAGGUCCCCCGGGCCCUGGUGGGCCGGGACCCUUUGGUGGCUUUUUUAACGUCAUUGGUUCCUGCCUGACUUUCAUAUGUUGUUGCUGGUUGCUACAAGAUUGCUUUGGUGGGCCUGGAGGCCCACCUGGUCCACCGGGACCACCUGGACCAUAAUCAUCUCAUCCUCCAUCCUACGGUACCAUCCAUACAAUCACUGCGUGCUGCUGCUGCUGUUUUAGCUUUCAAAGUCAUUUGUAAUUUUUCCUUAAGAGUUCAUCAUGUCCAUCUGUUAUGCGAAAAUAAUGACUGAUUUGGAGCCAAAGUUACUGUAUUGUUGAAGAACAUCACUGUUCUUUUAGUUCUCUCACUUCAUGUCUUUCUUUCUCAAUGGCUGGCUGUUCUACAUUUGUGCUGAUUAUCGAAUCAAACUGUUAUUCAUGAUUCCAUAAUCCAAUCGUUUACAUAUAUUUGUAACGUCAAAUUAUCGAAAGACUCCAAUGAUAUAAUUGAUUGGAAUACUGAUCUUCUGGAA
Juglans regia (Persian walnut) is the source of this 724-nucleotide long non-coding RNA. RefSeq lists it as uncharacterized. NCBI's taxonomy places the organism in Eukaryota, Viridiplantae, Streptophyta, Magnoliopsida, Fagales, Juglandaceae. The transcript has 2 exons. The record is from RefSeq and is a predicted model, not a curated record.